AUCGUAUCAUUGCUUCUGGUUUUACACAAACAUAAUUAGUAAUGUUGUUGAUAUGGGUUUUAGAUAUCCAGGUUCUGUUGCUACGGACGUAUAGUUUGGCGAAAACUCGUGCACGGGACAAUAUAUUGGCAACCACUUAAUCUUUGACUAUGACAUAGAAAGCUGUUUGACCACCACUAAGGCAAUUUCUGGAAAUCCACUUGACGUUACCACAGGUGCGAAUGUUUUCGUCAAGACCUUUGUGCUGAACGUUGAUUGGACAGUGAACAUGAGGCUGCAUUCGUGCUACACAGAGCCGACCUUGAACGGCCAUGGUGCCCGGAACUACCUCAUAUAUAACGGUUGCGAAAUGGACGCUUACACCCACUUCCUGUCUCAGACGGACCAUGCGACGCGGUUUUUGUUCCAAGCGUUCCAGAUGAGCGGAUCAGACCACCGCCUGUACAUCAAGUGUGACGCCACGCUAAGUGACACGUCAGACGUGACGUCAUCCCAGCAGUGUGAUCAGAGGCCUCACUGCACGAAGAAAAAAUAAUAUUAAAGAACUGUCUUUAUUGAACAUUUCACAAUUGUAUAUUAACGUGUAAUUACAAUUGGUCGUGGUUAAAUUGAUUGCAAUCAAAACUAGUUCUUUUGUCAUAUUAACCUAUUGAUAGUCUGUACUGUGGCUACAACUUAAAUCAAACGGCAUUCUUAGUAGAGAAAUGUGAUGUGUAGGAGGUGGGACUAAAAAUAAGCUGGUGAAAUUCAUAAUGAUAAAU
Long non-coding RNA from Dreissena polymorpha, 761 nucleotides. RefSeq lists it as uncharacterized. The transcript is spliced from 3 exons. The record is from RefSeq and is a predicted model, not a curated record. NCBI's taxonomy places the organism in Eukaryota, Metazoa, Mollusca, Bivalvia, Myida, Dreissenidae.